CAGUAGCCGCGGGAAUACGAAGGGUGCAAGCGUUAAUCGGAAUUACUGGGCGUAAAGCGUGCGUAGGCGGUUUGUUAAGUCUGUUGUGAAAUCCCCGGGCUCAACCUGGGAAUGGCAAUGGAUACUGGCAAGCUAGAGUGUGUCAGAGGAUGGUGGAAUUCCCGGUGUAGCGGUGAAAUGCGUAGAGAUCGGGAGGAACAUCAGUGGCGAAGGCGGCCAUCUGGGACAACACUGGCGCUGAGGCACGGAAGCGUGGGGAGCAAACAGGAUUAGAUACCCCCGUAGUCCCUGUCUCUUAUAC
This 301-nucleotide ribosomal RNA is filed under the name uncultured bacterium. RNAcentral's name for it is "partial 16S ribosomal RNA". It matches the Rfam family "Bacterial small subunit ribosomal RNA", at positions 509 to 807 of the family's 1533-position model. The record is from RNAcentral.